UACGUAGGGGGCAAGCGUUGUCCGGAAUCAUUGGGCGUAAAGAGCGUGUAGGCGGCCCGGUAAGUCCGCUGUGAAAGUCCAGGGCUCAACCCUGGGAUGCCGGUGGAUACUGUCGGGCUCGAGUCCGGAAGAGGAGUGUGGAAUUCCUGGUGUAGCGGUGAAAUGCGCAGAUAUCAGGAGGAACACCGGUGGCGAAGGCGGAGACCUGGGCAGAUAUUGACGCUGAGGUGCGAAAGCGUGGGGAGCAAACAGG
RNAcentral lists this ribosomal RNA (253 nucleotides) under uncultured bacterium. RNAcentral describes it as "partial 16S ribosomal RNA". It matches the Rfam family "Bacterial small subunit ribosomal RNA", at positions 524 to 776 of the family's 1533-position model. The record is from RNAcentral.